AGUGAACGCUGGCGGUAGGCCUAACACAUGCAAGUCGAACGGCAGCACAGUAAGAGCUUGCUCUUACGGGUGGCGAGUGGCGGACGGGUGAGGAAUACAUCGGAAUCUACUUUUUCGUGGGGGAUAACGUAGGGAAACUUACGCUAAUACCGCAUACGACCUACGGGUGAAAGCAGGGGAUCUUCGGACCUUGCGCGAUUGAAUGAGCCGAUGUCGGAUUAGCUAGUUGGCGGGGUAAAGGCCCACCAAGGCGACGAUCCGUAGCUGGUCUGAGAGGAUGAUGAGGCACGCUGGGACUGCGACACGGCCCAGACUCCUGCGGGAGGCAGCCGUGGGGAAUAUUGGCCAAUGGGUGAAAGACAGAACCAGCAAUGCUGCGUGAGUGAUGAAGGAGUCAGGGUCGUAAAGCUCUUUUACGCGGGAUGAUAAGGACAGUACCGGGAGAAUAAGCUCAGGCUAACUCCGUG
Molecule: ribosomal RNA, 467 nt
Filed under: uncultured bacterium
Lineage: Bacteria
Description: partial 16S ribosomal RNA
Rfam family: Bacterial small subunit ribosomal RNA
Source: RNAcentral